Molecule: ribosomal RNA, 588 nt
Filed under: Timoclea ovata
Lineage: Eukaryota; Metazoa; Mollusca; Bivalvia; Venerida; Veneridae
Description: partial 12S ribosomal RNA
Source: RNAcentral
GCGGUUAUACCUGCUACCCCCAUCCAAUGAGUUCGUAGAAGAGUGAAGCGAAAUUUAAACAGUAAAUCGUUGGGUGUUUAGGUAAAAUUUUCACCCAUUGGAAUAAUUAGGUUGUUUUAAUGCGAAACCUGAAAAGGCUGUAGUUAGAGACGGGGAUUUGAGACCCCCUUAUUGAGGCUGUCCGCAAAAUAAACGGGGACUACGAGCUAAGCGCUUAAAACUCGAUCAGGUUGGCGGUACUUUAGAUCCUGUUAGGGGAACUUGACGGUUAAUUCGAUGAUCCUCGAACAUCUUACACUUAGUAUUCUUUGCAUACCGCCGUUGAGGGUAGUCACGCGAUCGAAAAAAAGCUAGCGGAAGAUAUAAUAUGCUUAGUGAAGUUAAUAUAUAGCAAUUCAGGUAAACGUGUAGGUUCUAGGUGGCUUAGUUGAGUUACAAUUUUAUUUAAAUACGGAUGUUAUAUACGAAAAAUAGGCGGAAGGUGUACUUGUUAGUAAAAUUUCUAGAAAAAUUUUGAAUAGAGCCCUGAAGUGCGUACAAAUCGCCCGGCACCCUCGCAUAACCAAAGGGAGGUAAGUCGUAACAUAG